Molecule: transfer RNA, 62 nt
Filed under: Tomicus brevipilosus
Lineage: Eukaryota; Metazoa; Arthropoda; Insecta; Coleoptera; Curculionidae
Description: tRNA-Tyr
Rfam family: tRNA
About the family: Transfer RNA (tRNA) molecules are approximately 80 nucleotides in length. Their secondary structure includes four short double-helical elements and three loops (D, anti-codon, and T loops). Further hydrogen bonds mediate the characteristic L-shaped molecular structure. tRNAs have two regions of fundamental functional importance: the anti-codon, which is responsible for specific mRNA codon recognition, and the 3' end, to which the tRNAs corresponding amino acid is attached (by aminoacyl-tRNA synthetases). tRNAs cope with the degeneracy of the genetic code in two manners: having more than one tRNA (with a specific anti-codon) for a particular amino acid; and 'wobble' base-pairing, i.e. permitting non-standard base-pairing at the 3rd anti-codon position.
Source: RNAcentral
GGUAAAAUGGCUGAUAAAAGCGAUAAAUUGUAAAUUUAUUUAUGAAAAAUUUUCUUUUACCA